Molecule: ribosomal RNA, 407 nt
Filed under: uncultured bacterium
Lineage: Bacteria
Description: partial 16S ribosomal RNA
Rfam family: Bacterial small subunit ribosomal RNA
Source: RNAcentral
AUUGAACGCUGGCGGCAGGCCUAACACAUGCAAGUCGAGCGGAGCGGCGGACGGGUGAGUAAUGCCUAGGAAUCUGCCUGGUAGUGGGGGAUAACGUCCGGAAACGGGCGCUAAUACCGCAUACUAUCAGAUGAGCCUAGGUCGGAUUAGCUAGUUGGUGGGGUAAAGGCCUACCAAGGCGAGGUUCCGUAACUGGUCUGAGAGGAUGAUCAGUCAACUGGGAACUGAGAAACGGUCCGAACUCCAACGGGAGGCAGCAGUGGGGAAUAUUGGACAAUGGGCGAAAGCCUGAUCCAGCCAGGCCGCGGGUGGGAAGAAGGUCUUCGGAUGGUAAAGCACUUUAAGUUGGGAGGCGUUACCAACAGAAUAAGCACCGGCUAACUUCGUGCCAGCCGCCGCGGUAAUAC